Alosa alosa (allis shad) is the source of this 424-nucleotide long non-coding RNA. RefSeq lists it as uncharacterized. The transcript is spliced from 4 exons. The record is from RefSeq and is a predicted model, not a curated record. Lineage: Eukaryota; Metazoa; Chordata; Actinopteri; Clupeiformes; Clupeidae.
CAGGAAACGUUUCGUGGAAUGUUUUUAAAAACAGAAGGAACGUGCUGUACCUUUUAACAAACAAUAUUUUGUUAGCUUUGAUGAUCGGUCCUGUGUCGUGACUUUUGCUUUGCUAAGACAACGGUCCAAACCAGCGAUGGAUUAUUGAAAUAUAAUGUGGCCUCUUCAUUUUCAACUGGGAAGGACCUGCAUGGACUUGAGAAUACAGAGCCAAUCGAAGUUCAAGAGGGAUCUCUCGUAUGCAGUGCUGCUCCUUUGCCUCGUCAAGGUUUGAAGAGACAGAGGACGGUGGUGCAAAAGAGAAGGAGGGCCAGCCGGGCCUCGUGGAGUUCAAUCAGUGGCAGGGUAUUUUUUAGCCUGACAGUGUAGCUGUAAUGUUAAAGUUGGUGACUUUGCUAGACGGUAAAGAUGUGCACCCGCUAAU